UGUGAUGAAAAAAAUGAAGACACUUACAGUAUCACUCUGACAGAUGUAACAGAAGCUGAUAAACACAUCUACUACUGCAGAUUCAUUACAAACAGAGGAACAUGGACGGGGAUUCCUGGAGCUCAGCUGGAUGUCACCGACCUGCAGGUGGAAACACAGCAGAGUGUGAAAGAAGGAGAUUCAGUCACUCUGAAAUGUAAAAGCAGCUGCUCUCUGCCUCAACAAACAACAUUCAUCUGGUUCAGAAACACACAGAGAUUAACUACAGGAACCGUGAAAGAGAAUCAGCUUCAGCUGCAGUCAGUCAGUCGUCAAGAUGCAGGAAACUAUCAGUGUGCUGUUUCAGGAUAAUAACAUCUGAUCUCUCCACCUGUUUAUCUUAAUGUUGAAUAUCCUCCACAGAACGUCUCGGUGUCCAUCAGUCCGUCUGUAAUAGUGGAGGGAGAUUCAGUGACUCUGAGCUGCAGCAGUGACUCAAAACCUCCUGCUCUCAUCUUCAGAUGGUUUAAGGAGAAUCAAAGCUCAUCUGUUGGAUCUGG
This is a long non-coding RNA of Carassius gibelio (silver crucian carp), 539 nucleotides long. RefSeq lists it as uncharacterized. NCBI's taxonomy places the organism in Eukaryota, Metazoa, Chordata, Actinopteri, Cypriniformes, Cyprinidae. The transcript has 3 exons. The record is from RefSeq and is a predicted model, not a curated record.